UAAGAAAAAUCCCGUAGUUUGCCUCAGU
Molecule: small RNA, 28 nt
Filed under: Bombyx mori (domestic silkworm)
Lineage: Eukaryota; Metazoa; Arthropoda; Insecta; Lepidoptera; Bombycidae
Description: piRNA piR-bmo-2157145
Source: RNAcentral